GUCUGGCGCCAUGGCUUCAGUGGUCUCGGUGUCCCUACACGCAUCUUCAUCAUCACCCAUCAUACUAUGAAUAUAAGCCCCAUGGGAUGCAAAGAAGUUGUCUGAAUUCCUCGUUGUUGUACCUCCAGCACAUCCUAGGGCACUCGGCACACAGUAGGCACUCAAUAAAUACUGUCUGAAUGUGAGAGGAUGGAGUCAGAGCAUUGAGUAAAGGAACAGUGGAGAGGAUAAAGGUAUUCAGCAAGCAUAUGUGGGAAAGCUGUUUAAAAAUAUGUACUCAUAAAGAAAACUUGAAAAUAUUUCUGUCUUUGCUUUUCCCUCAUUCUUUGCCUGUGGUCUUUCCUUUUUGAGUUGAGAAAGUUGAAUGGGGCUUGUUUGUGUCUGAGUUGUUAGUUUCCAGGGGACUUAGACUGUUACAGGGCACUGAACAUCUCUCCCAAGCAGAGAGCAAGACCUUGUUACUGAAAGAAAUUU
This 474-nucleotide long non-coding RNA is filed under the name Homo sapiens (human). RNAcentral's name for it is "HSALNT0096615". Lineage: Eukaryota; Metazoa; Chordata; Mammalia; Primates; Hominidae. The record is from RNAcentral.